GACGUAGGGUCCAAGCGUUGUCCGGAUUUACUGGGCGUAAAGAGCGCGUAGGCGGUCCGUUAAGUGUAGAGUGAAAGCUCCGGGCUCAACUCGGAAAUUGCUCUGCAUACUGGCGGACUCGAGGACGGAAGAGGUUUGUGGAAUUCCUGGUGUAGCGGUGAAAUGCGCAGAUAUCGGGAGGAACACCGGUGGCGAAGGCGGUUCUCUGGACAGUUCCUGACGCUGAGGCACGAAAGCCAGGGGAGCAAACGGG
This 253-nucleotide ribosomal RNA is filed under the name uncultured bacterium. RNAcentral describes it as "partial 16S ribosomal RNA". It matches the Rfam family "Bacterial small subunit ribosomal RNA", at positions 524 to 776 of the family's 1533-position model. The record is from RNAcentral.